Long non-coding RNA from Callithrix jacchus (white-tufted-ear marmoset), 2178 nucleotides. Lineage: Eukaryota; Metazoa; Chordata; Mammalia; Primates; Cebidae. The record is from Ensembl.
AUGGCCACUGCCAAUACUGAGUCUCCUUAUGGUACCAUUCCCCACAUGAUCAGCCAGCUACCUGGUGGCAGAUUGGGUGAUUUGGGCCACUUCCAUCAUGGAAGGUGCCACAGUUUGUACUCUACUAGAAUAGACACAAAGAAGAAGAGAUAUGAAGACAGAUGCAAAGACUGGAGUGAGGCAGCCACAAGCCCGGGAAGCCAGGGAAUGCAUUCUGCCGCCAGAAGCUGGAAGAGGCAGGGAACCGACUCUAUCUAUGAAGUAACGAAUACAGUAAAAUCUACCCUAAAGUCAGAAACACUCCCCACCAGCAGGCUCAUGAGAUGGGCAUUUCUGCUGAGGAAGAAAAAUACACAAAUAUCCAGGUAUAGAAGAGGACCAUGAAAGAUGCCCAAACCCCUGCGGAGAAAUGCGGCAUUGUCUCAACUUCCUCUCAGGACCACUAAGAGCAGCUUUUCAAAGGACAUAAUCCCAUAAAGACAAAGAAAACUGGAGAAGUAUGAGCAGAGGAGAAAAGUGAACAACAUCUGAGGAGCUGAAAGUGGAUGAGCAGUGACUGUCCUGGUUAGCCGGAGAAUAUGAGCUAAAAGAGAACUUUAUUACACGGGCCCUGUAACAGGAGACUUACAAACACCGUGGAAAAUGUCUCCAAAUGUGUGUUCUCAAAAAUUGCAGAACCUUUGUUCAUAUACUUAUCAUAAAAAUAACUUCCCUUUCAACUCAAACAUCUUGAUGUCACCAUCACUGACUACAGUCACCUUCUGACUCCAUAUUUCACAUGGUGGUGCCCUGGGGUAACUGGAGUGCCUUAAACCCCUUUAAACGCCAGUGGCCCACUACCAAAGUCACCCAAAUAAAUACAUGAUGGAGGUGAAAAUGGUGUGCUGGGUAUGCAAGCACUGCCCAAGAUAGCUCUCCAGCCCUCCACCCCUCUACCCCAAUCAUCUUCCUAAGCCCCUCACUCUUCCACACAAACUCUAGAGUGACCAUUGGGGUCUCAGCCACUGGUUCUUCUUAAUAUUCCUCCUCAAGUUAGUGUCACGGCCACCUUCAAAAGUCAUUCCCAUGCCUACCCUGAGCAAUCAUUUCAUCUGGGCCGGAGGUCUGACUCUUCAUAGAAGUGGAGGGUAUACCAACAAUAUUUAUUUGUAUGGAGGCUUUUUAGGAGUUAUAGCUAAGAUAGUGUGGUCAGAGACAUCCCUGCAAGGAUUUGCCUUAGUACGAACAGAGUUUAGGAAGGCUAGAGGCUCAGAAAGUUAAAACAUCCAUUAGACAGUCUUCCUGCUGAGUGCUUGGAUGCCAGUUAGAGACCCUGAAAUGGCCCCGAGGGCACUGCUGAGUAGCAGGAAGCCAUGCACAUCUUGCUCCAGAUAUCUAGAAGUCAGAACUUACAUUUAUAGGGGUAAAGUCUUGACUCCAACUUGUCCUGAGUUGCCCUGAGUUUAUAUUGCAUGAUGUAAUAAAAAGAUCCAGAGCUUUGAAUUUAUGGCUAUGAGUUUGUAGCCCAAAUAUAACAAUUUACCUGUGUGAUCUUGCUUAAUCAUUCUGGACCUUGAUUUCCUCAGCUGCAAAACAGAGGCAAUAAUAAUACUGACCUUGCAUGACUCUGUCUAGAAUUUUAAGUAAUAUAUGUCAAAAUUUUUCAGUGAGACUCAACAAUACUCAAGGUAGGAUAAGGAUUUUUGUUUUAAAAUACCUUAAAAUUAUCUGACAUCUUUGAAUACAUUUUUUAUUUAAUUGGGGCCCCACAGUGCUGUGUUCUACAAUGGGAAAAAAGAAAAAGAAAAAGUUUUAUGAGCAGGAGUUACCAAUUAACUGCCUUCUCAAAACAGAGUCUACGGUCUCUAAGGAGAUGAAUUCUUCAUGGGACCAACCAAGAUGAAUUGCAUGCAAAAUGUGCUCCAACUGAUGGGAUAAAUCUGCAAUUCUUGGGCUUCAUAUAAAAAGCUCAAGCAAUUAAUUCAAAAUUGCUUGAAAUAGGGGAUAUUUUUAAGAGCUCUCCAGUGACUCUAGUGUACAGCCAAGAUGAAGAGACACCAACUGCUUUUUAAACAAUGACCUAUUGGAUGGAGUAUAACGAUUAUACUCAUUUAAAUAUUUGAAAUCCCUUCCAGAAGAUAAGAAACUUCUGGGAGUUAAAAGAACUUGUUCUAACCCAAUGUAAAGAAACUAAGAACU